GACGAACGCUGGCGGCGUGCUUAACACAUGCAAGUCGAACGGAAAGGCCCUGCUUUUGUGGGGUGCUCGAGUGGCGAACGGGUGAGUAACACGUGAGUAACCUGCCCUUGACUUUGGGAUAACUUCAGGAAACUGGGGCUAAUACCGGAUAGGAGCUCCUGCUGCAUGGUGGGGGUUGGAAAGUUUCGGCGGUUGGGGAUGGACUCGCGGCUUAUCAGCUUGUUGGUGGGGUAGUGGCUUACCAAGGCUUUGACGGGUAGCCGGCCUGAGAGGGUGACCGGCCACAUUGGGACUGAGAUACGGAGCAGAGGCCUACGGGAGGCAGCAGGGGGGAAUAUGGCACAGUGGGCGGAAGCGUGAUGCAGCAGCGCCGCGUGCGGGAUGACGGCCUUCGGGUUGUAAACCGCUUUCGCCUGUGACGAAGCGUGAGUGACGGUAAUGGGUAAAGAAGCACCGGCUAACUACGUG
This 468-nucleotide ribosomal RNA is filed under the name uncultured bacterium. RNAcentral's name for it is "partial 16S ribosomal RNA". It matches the Rfam family "Bacterial small subunit ribosomal RNA", at positions 28 to 507 of the family's 1533-position model. The record is from RNAcentral.